RNAcentral lists this ribosomal RNA (117 nucleotides) under Candidatus Fimivivens faecavium. Lineage: Bacteria; Bacillati; Bacillota; Clostridia; Eubacteriales; Oscillospiraceae. The record is from RNAcentral.
GUCGGUGUCUAUAGCUGUGAGGUCCCACCCGUUCCCAUUCCGAACACGGUCGUUAAGCUCACACGCGCCGAAGAUACUUGGGUGGAAGCGCCCUGGGAAAAUAGGUCGUCGCCGGCA